GGACUACCGGGGUUUCUAAUCCUGUUUGCUCCCCUUGCUCUCGCGCCUCAGCGUCAGGUACUAACUAGAAAACCGCUUUCGCCACUGGUGUUCUUCCACAUAUCUACGCAUUUCACCGCUACACGUGGAAUUCCGUUUUCUCCGUCAACCCUCUAGAAUGAUAGUUUCAAAUGCAGCUCCAGAGUUGAGCUCUGGAAUUUCACAUCUGACUUAUCGUCCCGCCUACGCGCCCUUUACGCCCAAUAAUUCCGAUUAAUGCUUGCACUCUCCGUAUUACCGCGGCUGCUGGCAC
This 292-nucleotide ribosomal RNA is filed under the name uncultured bacterium. RNAcentral's name for it is "partial 16S ribosomal RNA". The record is from RNAcentral.